ACUAGGAUUUAUCCUGGGGUCACAAUGGGCUUGAUUUGCAAACUUUAUUUAGCGAGGAACAAUUGGAGGGCAAGUCUGGUGCCAGCAGCCGCGGUAAUUCCAGCUCCAAUAGUGUAUAUUAAUGUUCCUGCAGUUAUUCGAUGCUCGUAGUUGGAUUUCUGGGGGCUGAGAUUGGAAGGUGGCCAAGGUCACCGCCGAACUCUUCCUUCAUCCACCUGUUAACGUUGUCCGGGAUUUGUUUCUCGGCUUCAGGCUCAGGUAUUUUACCCUUUCUAUAUAUUCAUUUAUUUAUCUUCUUUUUGAGUAAAUUAUAGUGUUUCAGGCAGGCGUGCGCCGGAAUACUUUAGCAUGGAAUAAUCGAAUUGGACCGUGUAUUCUUAUAGAAUUCUUCCUUAUUUGUUGGUUUCAAGGACACGGAAAUGGUUAAUAGGGAUAGUGUUUUCAGGGGAGGCAUUAGUAUUUAAUUUCCAGAGGUGAAAUUCUUUGAAAUAUUAAAGACUAACUUAUGCGAAAGCAUUUAUUUUGCCAAUAAUGUUUUCAUUAAUCAUUGAACGAAAGUUAGGGGAUCAAAGACGAUCAGAUACCGUCCUAGUCUUAACCAUAAACGUUGCCGACUAGGGAUCGGAGGGCGUGCACAUUCCGCCUUCGGCACCUUACGAGAAAUCAAAGUCUUUUGGGCUCUGGGGGUAGUAUGGUCGCAAGGCUGAAACUUAAAGGAAUUGACGGAAGGGCACCACCAGGAGUGGAGCUUGCGGCUCAAUUUGACUCAACACGGGAAAUCUUACCAGGUCCAGACAUAGCGAGGAUUGACAGAUUGAUAGCUCUUUCUUGAUUCUAUGGGUAUUUAUUUUAAUUUUGGUGGUGCAUGGCCGUUCUUAGUUGGUGGAGUGAUUUGUCUGGUUAAUUCCGUUAAACGAACGAGACCUCAGCCUGCUAAAUAGUUACCUGUCUUUCUUUUACGAGACUUGAUAACUUCUUAGAGGGACGUUGUGUGCAACCACAAGGAAGUUGAGGCAAUAACAGGUCUGUGAUGCCCUUAGAUGUCCUGGGCCGCACGCGUGCUACACUGAUACGUACAACAAGGUAUAUGCAUUUAUGCAUCGAUGCUGCUCCGAAAUAGACACAGCUAAAUCUUCUAAAAUACGUAUCGUGCUGCGGAUAGAUCGUUGAAAUUAUGGAUCUUGAAGGUGGAAUUCCUAGUAAGCGCGGGUCAUCAACCCGCGUUGAUUACGUCCCUGCCCUUUGUACACACCGCCCGUCGCUCCUACCAAUUUCGAGUGGCUCGGUGAACCUCUUUGGACUGUCGAGCAAUCGCGAAAUUAGAGUGAACCUGGUCAC
This 1338-nucleotide ribosomal RNA is filed under the name metagenome. RNAcentral's name for it is "SSU rRNA". It matches the Rfam family "Eukaryotic small subunit ribosomal RNA", at positions 487 to 1772 of the family's 1831-position model. The record is from RNAcentral.